Phrynosoma platyrhinos (Desert horned lizard) is the source of this 71-nucleotide non-coding RNA. The record is from the annotation of a GenBank genome assembly. NCBI's taxonomy places the organism in Eukaryota, Metazoa, Chordata, Lepidosauria, Squamata, Phrynosomatidae.
GUCAGCAUGGUGUAGUGGUUUGAAUGUUGGACUAUGACUUUGAAGACUAGGGCUCAAUUCCCUUCUUGGCC